Molecule: long non-coding RNA, 742 nt
Organism: Ipomoea triloba (trilobed morning glory)
Lineage: Eukaryota; Viridiplantae; Streptophyta; Magnoliopsida; Solanales; Convolvulaceae
Exons: 3
Source: RefSeq, a predicted model, not a curated record
AUUCCCAUUCGUGAGUUCAAGAGGAGAGGAGAGAGAGUGAAUUCAUCUUCUUCACCAAUCUUCAAGAUCCAUAGCCAAAUUUCCUUCUCAACUCUCAAUUUGUUCGGAUUUAAGGUGAAAUUUGGGGAAAAUCAUCCAAGAUCACUUCUAAGGAAUUGUUGACCACUUUGAGAGAAGUAAACAGAAUAAUUUUUUUUUGUUUUCUUUACCCCUCAUUUCUUGUUGGAGCUCAUAUUCACCUUGCUGUUGCCGUGGAUGGGUUUGGCUAGUUAUUUGAUGUUGUCUUUAUCAUAUAUUUUGAAGGUCAGUUUGAAUUUAUAUUCUGUCUCUUUUGGAUAUUCGCGUAUUGUUCUUUGUAAUAUAUGCAGUUAUAGAUUAUAUACAUUUUUUGUCAUGUGCAAGAUAUAUGUCAGAAAUAUUUGUAUAUGUAGAUUCCUAAUGUAAAGAUGUAUUUUAGUAUACAUUAAAUUAAUAAUAACGAUAUGGAAAAGGUUCUUCCUCUAAUUUUUUUUUUCCAAACAUAUUCAGUUGACAUAGGAAAUGAGUUACCAACAACAGAACUUAACUUUUACAACAUAAGAUUUAAUUUUAGACUUACAGGUUGUGAAGCGGCGUAGAAUUACAUUUGUAAUGUGAAGAUGUAUUUUAGUAUACAUUAAAUUAAUAAUAAUGAUAUAACAAAAGGUUCUUUCUCUGUUUUUUCCCCAAACAUAUUCAGUUCAUAAAGAAAAUGAUUUACCAA